Molecule: long non-coding RNA, 782 nt
Filed under: Ictidomys tridecemlineatus (thirteen-lined ground squirrel)
Lineage: Eukaryota; Metazoa; Chordata; Mammalia; Rodentia; Sciuridae
Description: lncRNA (ENSSTOG00000030542.1)
Source: RNAcentral
UGGACACUGUGUGAGUGUUGGAGUGUGACCCCUGUUGAGAGGCAGGAAGAGGCUGGACACUGAGCCCACCAUGGCGUUCAGCAGUGGGCCUCAGGGAGGCCAUCAGGGUUGCUUAAGGAAGGCUGUUGCUGGGAGUCUCCCUGAGAACUCCCUGGGCCUUUCAAACAUGGCGGCGAGCAAAUUGCCAGUGGGCGGCUAGAACUCCCCGGGCCUUUCAGCUCCUGGGAGACUGGCACAUCGUGCGCUGGGCAGGAGACUUGACUAUUCCCGAGGAGAGGAAGACCCACCCGCUGCCUCCCUUCAAGUUCGUCAGAAACAAGCUCAACAAGCUGGAGUUCAGGAUGAACCUCAUGAAACCCAUAGGAUGCAUUCAGUUCCAAAUGAUCCUGGAUGUAGCCUCCCGGGGCACCUUUCAAACCGGUUGGAGGCACACCAUCUCUGUCCACUUCUUGCCAGGGAAGGAUCACGCCAUUGCCUACUUCAAGGGCAAGAUACAGCAAACCUACCAGAUGACGAUGCUCAUGGGUGUGCUCCAGCCUCUGGACCGUGUGGAGUUGGGUGUGAACCUCCAGGGUGCCGGCAGACAGGGUGCAGUGCCUUCCAGUCCAGCUAUCUGCAGUUCCCACCCAGGCAGCCAUUUCUGGGACUCCUGGACUCUCGGUGGGAGAGGACCCCUCCCUAGAGGGUUGGGGAGUGGCACCUCUUUCCUGUGGAAAUCUCAGAGACAGGAAGCCCCUGGGGCCCCUGAGCUUUGCCAGGAGCUCAGAGGCAUAAGUGUCUAG